UACGUAGGCAGCAAGCGUUGUUCGGAAUUACUGGGCGUAAAGAGUGUGUAGGCGGUGCUCCAAGUCUGGUGUGAAAUCUCCCGGCUUAACUGGGAGGGUGCAUUAGAAACUGGAAUGCUAGAGGAUGGGAGAGGUAAGCGGAAUUCCUGGUGUAGCGGUGAAAUGCGCAGAUAUCAGGAGGAACACCGGUGGCGAAGGCGGCGAUCGUGGGUCGAUACUGACGCUGAGGUGCGAAAGCGUGGGGAGCAAACAGG
RNAcentral lists this ribosomal RNA (254 nucleotides) under uncultured bacterium. RNAcentral describes it as "partial 16S ribosomal RNA". It matches the Rfam family "Bacterial small subunit ribosomal RNA", at positions 524 to 776 of the family's 1533-position model. The record is from RNAcentral.